GCGGGGGAUGACCGACAACACGACAACGAAGCACAGUUUGAGCUGAUGCAUCGCUGAUGGACAACGUCACACAUGAGCUAACUCUGCUGACGC
This 93-nucleotide small RNA is filed under the name Leishmania major strain Friedlin. RNAcentral's name for it is "Leishmania major c/D snoRNA". Lineage: Eukaryota; Euglenozoa; Kinetoplastea; Trypanosomatida; Trypanosomatidae. The record is from RNAcentral.